Molecule: long non-coding RNA, 1451 nt
Filed under: Olea europaea (common olive)
Lineage: Eukaryota; Viridiplantae; Streptophyta; Magnoliopsida; Lamiales; Oleaceae
Description: long non-coding RNA (OEUR_LNC011509)
Source: RNAcentral
CAUAAUUCAUAUUUAGGUCUUAUUAAGUUUACAAGUCAUGUUGAAAUCUACAAGUUGAAUUAAAAGUAAAAAUAUUUGUAUUACUUGGGUAUAUAUGCUAAAGUUGCUUUAGGAUGUCACGUCACCGGAGCUCAUAAAUAGACAUGAUGUCUUCAUAAAACAAGGAAGAUUACAAAAUCGUAUUUCUCCCCAGAGCAAUAAGGGUUACUAAGAUGAUGUGAUGAAUUCCAACCCUGGAAAUGGUCCCUAAAUUUCUUUAACUUCCAUCAUCAUUCUUUUUCAAGUUUAGCAAAAUUCACCAAGAUGCCUUCAAACCAAUUUACUUUAGUUCCCAUGUCUCAGAUAUAAGUCCAACCAAUUUUCUUCUACAGACCUUACCAAGCGGAUUUUCAACAUGUGCAAUGGCUAAUGAACAUCUCCUCAUCGACCUGUCAAAACCUUAAAUAAAUUAUAUCAAUCACCAUAUUAUUACUCGUCUCUAACUGAGGCUUCCUACACAGAAAGCUUUUUAGCCUAUUGUUUUGCUACUUUUCAAAACCAAAUCUCAUUAGGUAGACAAACUCAAACGGCAAUUAGCUAAUCUUCUCCACAUAACUUCUAUGAUCCUGUAGCAACAUAUAUCAAGAGGUAUAAUCACUUUUCUUUCAAAGACAAAUAAAUGUUUGUGCAUAUACAACAUCAGAUAUUAACAAUACAAUAAAAAAUCAGGCCGAAAAUAAACAUGAGGAUAUAAGCUGUGCAUUCAGCUAUUUCAACAGCAGAAUCACCAGCAUGUACAAACCUAUUCACCCCACCUAUCAUGAACUCGUAUGAACAUAAUAUAGUACAUGGUAAGUUGCAAAAUAUUAAAUAAAGAGGCAGUGGAAAAAAUGUCAAAGUCAUGACCAUUCAAAAAUGAAAAUGGUAAAAAAUAAAAUUUAUAGCACAUUAUCAAAUUUAUGUAUAAAGUCCAACGCACAAUCUUUCUCCAGGCCUGCAGCAACUUAUCCUCUCUUGCAGGUCCGCAACUUCAUUUAGAUCAUGUAUGCACACGAAAGAAGCAAGUUCACGGGCUACUCUAUUCCCCUUGCACACGAACCAAAUACCAAUCUCAUUUAAAAGUGGUCAAGAAUGAGUAUACCUAACAAUCAAGAUGUGCAUAUAUAGAAUGAAGUAAAUUCACCUGUUUAAAUCAAAAAAUAGAUAGGAUUGAUGGGCAUACCUAGAAGGCUACUUGAAGAAUAACACUGAAAUCUAUCAAUUAAGCCAUAAUUUGUUGACGAGAUAAUGCUUCAAUUGAAAUUUUGAAUUAGGUUUGGGCCAAUUAAGAAGCGGCAAAUAGCGCGAAUGAAUAUUUUUGGGGAAAAUUUUUGGAGCCAAUUCAAAGAGUGGAAGACAGCAAGAGAGGGAAUUAAUUUUGAGGAAAAAGAAUUUGUAGGCAAAAGUAUAUUGAGGAAAAAAUACAACAAUAG